This 2226-nucleotide long non-coding RNA is filed under the name Equus caballus (horse). RNAcentral describes it as "lncRNA (ENSECAG00000058376.1)". The record is from RNAcentral. Lineage: Eukaryota; Metazoa; Chordata; Mammalia; Perissodactyla; Equidae.
UAGUUCUUUCUUCAAAAGGUAGAUUUAGCUGAUUGAAAGCUAUCAAUUCUCCUGCCAAAUCAUCACCACACCAUUUCAACUCUAUCAGGACAAAUAUUCUUCAUUCACUCAAGCUAUAUAGAAAGGCAUUGUAUUCUAUUCCUUUUUCUUAUUUCUGCUUGUUUAUAUUUCAUCAGGAAACAUAACUUUCCCCUGUUUUCUUUAACAUUUCUCUAAUUGUUCCAAAUCUAAAAUCUUCAUUAUCAUAUACCACAACUUAUUCUUUUUCUCUUUGUAGGAAAGUGUCUUUUGGCUCUUUAAGGGGAUGUAAAAGGGCAAUAAAUUCAGUGGAUAUACACACAGAAAAUAAGUUUUCAAAUACAUAUUUCCUAUGAAUCUUUGUUUUCCAUAGAGAUUCCUCCUUAGUGUCACAACAGAGCCACAUUUUCCCAGAGCAGAAAAUCACAUCAGGAAUCCUCUGAUAAUGUUAUGAAGAUGCUUGUAUGUUUUAUAAACCAGACAACAAUUAUGCCGAGGAGUGGAUUUGCAGCCUGAGUCCUCCUGCUCCUUUUGGUGUAAAUUUGAUGAAAGGUUAACCUUAGGCAGGAGAGAAGGCAGAAAACCACACUAAGCACUUCUUAGCAGGCAGGGCAGAAAGAACACGGACAACAUUAGGAGCUCUUCUCAUCUGUGCCUAGCGAUGGGUGACAUAUGACACACCUGUUGAAUCUUUUGGGAACUGGAAGAAUGAAAAGUGGAUAACGUGAUGAUCAGGUGUUCAAGAGAGUGUUCAAGAGAGUUUCAGAUGUAAUCCAGGACACGCAUCAAUGCACUAGCUCCACAAAGAAUGAGUAAGAAGAUAUCAUUUGGCUGAAAGAAUGAAGAAAAAAAAUAGGUGGACUCUAUGGCGUAGGUGACUGCAAAUGGAAUACCUUUCACCUCUAAUUGACUGACUGAAAUGGAGGCAGUCUCCAUAGAGACUGAAAUUCCUCCGUGAGAGAUGGCAGUUCCGCAGGGAGGCUGGAGAUGGAGGGCUGUGUCUCCAUCGCUAAGAGCUAGGGAGCAUGACAUCAGGACUGGAUUCACUGGUUUCCAUAGCUAAUCUGAGCUCUUAUCAGCCCUCUAUAUUUUAAAAUACAGUGCUCUUUAAGAGGAUUCAAUUUAAAGAAUUAUAACUUGUUUAUGUUAAUACAUUGAGGCUUGGGGAAAUUUUUGAAUCAACCUAGUUCUUAAACUACUGCUCACACUAUUAAGCUUCAUGUCAUAUCCAUCAAUAUAUAUCGGAUUUUGCUCCUUCUGUAUGAUUCUGCUCUGAAAUCCUGUGAUUAUAUUGUCACAAAUAGGUGUUAUGAUUUAAGGAUUCAUGAAUUGUGCCUCUCAGAGAUAGGUUGAAAUUUAAUAAUAAAAUAAAACAUUUUACUAAAAAAAUAAAGUAGAAAAGGAUGCCUUCCAUUAACCCCUAAACCAUCCUUUUGCUUGUGUCCUCCACCCCACGUUCUUCUGUUUCUUCAGUGACCUCACUGGCUGCUUCUCAGCUUCAAAUAUUUCUUCUCUUGAAUUCUCUUGCCCUAUAUGGCAUCUAAGUGUUGGGCCUCCUCAGAAUUAUAUUCAGGCCCUUAUCAUAUCUGCAGUGAAAGGCCUCCUAAACUGUUGGUCCCCUGUCUUCAAACUCCCAUCCAGGUCUCUCCACUCUUCAACUCUGAGGAAAGGAUUUUUUUAAAACAUAAAUGGGAUCAUGUUACUUCUCUGCUUAAAUCCCUUUCAUGGCUUUCUCUUACAGAAACAAUAAAACUCAAAACUCUUUGCAGGGCUCUGCAUUCAGUGUUCCUUAUAAUUGCCUGUCUCUCUUCUUUUCAUUCAAUAUACUGCAGCCAUGUUUUUGCUCAUUUCUCAAAGAUGCUAAAUCUGUAUCGUCUACUUCUAGCAUUCUUUACACAACUUUUCAGAUGACUAGUUCUCUUUCUCUCCCUUUGUUCUCAUUUUAUACACAAUUGAUUCAAAGACGUUUUUCCUGAUAAUCAAUUUAAAAUAUCCCCAAAUCUUAUUCCCAAUAUUAAUCCUUAUGAUACCCCCUUCAAAAACAUACUAGAAUCUGGGGCCGGCUCCGUGGCCGAGUGGUUAAGUUCGCGGGCUCCGCUGCAGCAGCCCAGGGUUCAGAUCCUAGGCACGGACAUGGCACCGCUCGUCAGGCCACGUUGAGGCGCCAUCCCACAUCCCACAAGUAGAAGGACCUGCAACUAAGAUAUA